GUUCAAGUUAAGCCAUUUUAAACAGAAUUUGUGACACAAUGUUGGUUACCAUAAAAAACGUGUCUCUUAGUUUCUUUUAAAGCAUAAUUCAUGGUUACAGUGGCAAACAUAUAAAGAAAGAUAAAGCUUGCAAUUUUAUUGAAACACAUGCAUGAAUUUAGUAAAACUGAGAGAUGAGUAAAUUUUAUUUAUUUAUACAUUUUAGGUAUCAAGUUUGUUAUCACAUUCAAACUGUUACACCCAAAAUUAGCAUAUUCCUUUUAGAAAGAAGCCAACCAAAGUGUGAUUAACAGAGUUUGUCAGUGUUUUUACAUGUGUUUUUAGUGCUGGCCUGUACGGUUUCCUGAGACGGACCAUGCUGGCUGAGAAGCCUUUCCAUGACACCCAGUGUGUCCAGAUUAACCAGCUGUCCUAACAUAUGGUGGUCACUCAUGGAAAAAGCUUUGCGUUUAUGGCUGACAUUGGCAUCGUGGAGCAUCCCUGUUUGGAUCGCAUAUAAACAUUAAAAUUUCAUCGGAAAAUAACAUUGCUGAAUCUUGUCAGCUAAUUACAGCAGCAGCGUUUAUCUACACUCCACCUGAUUCUCACAUUGUCUGAUGCACCAUUCACAUGUGUGAGACACGACUGAAGACACUUUCAAGGUUUUUUUUCCCUUCCUCUUGUGAUAUAUCAUGGUGGGAAAAAUCAAAUGUUAUCAUGGUCCAACUUGAAAACAGACAUGUUCCUACAGUAUAAUGCAUUCAUAUGCCUCAAAUUUGCCAUUUGGUGUCAGGAGAGACUCUGAGGACUGCUUCUUUUCGCUGUAGAGCUGCAACAUCCCCAGCAGAGGU
Carassius gibelio (silver crucian carp) is the source of this 830-nucleotide long non-coding RNA. RefSeq lists it as uncharacterized. The transcript has 4 exons. The record is from RefSeq and is a predicted model, not a curated record. Lineage: Eukaryota; Metazoa; Chordata; Actinopteri; Cypriniformes; Cyprinidae.